Molecule: long non-coding RNA, 268 nt
Filed under: Mus musculus (house mouse)
Lineage: Eukaryota; Metazoa; Chordata; Mammalia; Rodentia; Muridae
Description: long non-coding RNA chr11:119014470-119014738
Source: RNAcentral
ACUUACAUUCCCACCCAGAGUAUGUGAGCAUCCGCUAACCUUUACCAGGGCCCUUUAAACCGAUUUUUAAUUUCACUGAGGGCUGGAGGGCUUAGGAUCACAAAUACACUCUGUCUUGGGAUGAAACCGUCCCAUGUUGACCUACAAACCACAGGUUUUUAUUGGCCUGGCUUGGACUCGAAGCUCCGUGCCAGGUGUGGGGAGCUAAGGGGAUGCCAGCAUCCCCGGCAGGGAAGAUCUGAGCCCUGAUAAGACGGAUUUUUAAACC